RNAcentral lists this long non-coding RNA (988 nucleotides) under Anolis carolinensis (green anole). RNAcentral's name for it is "lncRNA (ENSACAG00000031893.2)". Lineage: Eukaryota; Metazoa; Chordata; Lepidosauria; Squamata; Anolidae. The record is from RNAcentral.
CUUUCACAUAGCCAUAUAAUCCAGAAUAUCAAGGCAGAAAAUCCCACAAUAUCUGCUUUGAACUGGGUUAUCUGAGUCCACACUGCCAUAUAUUCCAGUUCAAAGCAGAAAAUGUGGGAUUUUAUUCAGCUGUGUGGAAGGAGCCUGAAUGAAUCAACAAAACCCUGGAGAAAAACACCAAGUUCUUGCCUUGGACAGUGGACUCUUCUCUAAGAUAGGAAUUCCAGGGAAAUGAAAUGAGUGGUCUACAGUACUCCGAACCGAUCGCGUUCCCCUUUGGGCGAGGACAGCGCCUACUUUGGGAUUGUUUGUAUUGUUUGUAGGGUGCAUUAAAAAGGCGCCCGUAAAGAACCCUUAAAAUUUCCGCUCCCGAGUCCGCGAAGGUGUCUCUUCCGAGCUCCUGUUGUGAGUCAUGGCCUUGGAGGGAGACCGCAACAAAAAAACCAGGCGCUACUUCUGCGGCGAGAAUCUCAGAGAAAGAGAGAGAGAGAUUGAGAAAGGGAAACCCUGUGGCUCCGGGGUAUAAAUGGGCUCCAGCAGCCCCGGGAGAGAAACGCUCGCUCAGCCUCGGAAGGGACUCUGGAGAAAGAGACAGGGAGAGACACUCCUCCGACAACCUGACAACCUGCCUGCCUGCCUACCUGCUUCCAAGAAGAUGCCAAGCCUCCGUUGCGCGCCCACCUUGCGACAAAGCAUCCCCGGGCCAAGUUCCUGGAUUCUGAUGGCUUUCCUUUUCACAACAUUACCCAGUUUAUUUGUGGCUUACCACAGCCCUGCUCAUGCAAGACGACUCAACACCUCAGAAAUAACAACCAAUUUAACCCAUUGCCUGACUGUUUCCUCCAAUUUGAUGGAGGCAGCAGAGAAUGCAUUCCAUCAGUUCCAGAAAAUAUUUAAGUGUUCUCUUGACCACAAUCCCACCAAAGACCCUAAGAAUGAAGAUAAGAUCGUGAACGCCUGCAUGGAAGGAAAAUCAAUGGUAUUAUAA